RNAcentral lists this ribosomal RNA (433 nucleotides) under uncultured bacterium. Its description in RNAcentral is "partial 16S ribosomal RNA". It matches the Rfam family "Bacterial small subunit ribosomal RNA", at positions 28 to 507 of the family's 1533-position model. The record is from RNAcentral.
AGCGAACGCUGGCGGCAGGCUUAACACAUGCAAGUCGAACGAACUCUUCGGCUUUUGUGGCGGUGGGGUGAGUAGCAAGCGGGAACGUACCUCUUGGGUCGGCUUCACUCAGCGAAUGUUUUACUACUAGCGAAUGCGCCUAAUACGGGAUGGAUUGAUCGCCAUUGGUGGGGCCCGCGUCUGUUUAGCUAGUUGGUGGGGUAACGGCGCACCAUGGCGACGAUGAGUAGCUGGUCUGGGAGGAUGUCCAGCCACACUGGGACUGGGACGCGGCCCAGACGCCUACGGGAGGCAGGAGUGGGGGAUCGUGCGCAGUGGGCGGAGGGAUGACGGAGCCACGCCGGGUGAAUGAUGUAGGUCUUAGGAUUGUAAAAUUCUUUCACCGGGGACGAUAAUGACGGUACCCGGGGAAGAAGCCCCGGCUAACUUCGUG